CCCUGUGUGUGUGUUGCGCUUUCUUGACAGCAAAACACACACGCACGUUAGUGACAGCGGCGUCAUGUCAGCGAUAGGGAAGCGGCAACACAACCUCUCCUCCUCCUAUAGGCGGCGUCGAACGACACCUCAAUCAAGCCAAUCACAGGUUACAACCAGCCAUUGCUGUGCCUGAGUAUACACUUCCAUGAGCCAAAACUACACCAGGAAAUGUGUACGCCAUUCACCAAGCGGUUUCAUUAACAUUAUAUUUGAAUAGUUUGGACAUUAGUUCGGCAUGCAGCGAUACCAAGGGGCCUCCAGAUGGUGCAAACACUACAACUAUCAGCAUGCCCGGACCCCAAAGGCUGCA
Long non-coding RNA from Hyla sarda, 352 nucleotides. RefSeq lists it as uncharacterized. NCBI's taxonomy places the organism in Eukaryota, Metazoa, Chordata, Amphibia, Anura, Hylidae. The transcript has 4 exons. The record is from RefSeq and is a predicted model, not a curated record.